UCCGGAGAGGGAGCCUGAGAAACGGCUACCACAUCCAAGGAAGGCAGCAGGCGCGCAAAUUACCCAAUCCCGAUACGGGGAGGUAGUGACAAGAAAUACCGAUUCAGGAUCUUAUUGGAUCUUGAGAUUGGAAUGAGUACAAUUCAAACCCAUUAACGAGGAACAACUAGAGGGCAAGUCUGGUGCCAGCAGCCGCGGUAAUUCCAGCUCUANUAGCGUAUAUUAAAAUUGUUGCAGUUAAAACGCUCGUAGUUGAACUUUGGGCUUGGC
This 270-nucleotide ribosomal RNA is filed under the name Hesperomyces virescens. Its description in RNAcentral is "partial small subunit ribosomal RNA". It matches the Rfam family "Eukaryotic small subunit ribosomal RNA", at positions 382 to 651 of the family's 1831-position model. The record is from RNAcentral. Lineage: Eukaryota; Fungi; Ascomycota; Laboulbeniomycetes; Laboulbeniales; Laboulbeniaceae.